This is a non-coding RNA of Plectropomus leopardus (leopard coralgrouper), 363 nucleotides long. The record is from RefSeq and is a predicted model, not a curated record. NCBI's taxonomy places the organism in Eukaryota, Metazoa, Chordata, Actinopteri, Perciformes, Serranidae.
GCAGAGGAAGACGGUCAGGGCGUGCCAGUGGAGGCUGAUGUCCUUCUUCAGAGAGGAGCAGCUGAGUCAGUGGCACCACAGUACCUGGACUUGCUGUAUGGGCAGAGCCAUGUUGGGCACCAUGAUGAGCAGCAGCAGCAGCCAUACGACCACAGACAGCAGCCGAGCGAAGCCGACCUCCUGCAGCCGCAGCGAGCGCAGCGUGUGACAGUCCUGCGGGAGAACAGAGCCAUCAGCAACCAACAACCAUCAACAGCAAUAUCAUAAACACAGUAGCAGUCGGUGAUGAUGAAGGCAAGGAAGGCGAUGGAGGCGUAGAGGCUGAUGUAGAUGGUGACGGCGCUGGCCUGGCAGUGGAAGACC